This 216-nucleotide unclassified non-coding RNA is filed under the name rhizosphere metagenome. RNAcentral describes it as "partial ribosomal RNA internal transcribed spacer region". The record is from RNAcentral.
GUAGGUGAACCUGCGGAAGGAUCAUUAAUGAAUGCAGAUUCCUGUCGAGCUUGCUCACGGGAUUUCAUCAUAUCCAUAACACCUGUGCACUUGUUGGAUGGUAUAACAGAGCCCUAGUGGUGAAGUUGUCCAUCUAAUUUACACUAAACAAUCCUGUAACAAAUGUAGUCUUAUUAUAACAUAAUAAAACUUUCAACAACGGAUCUCUUGGCUCUC